GAUGAACGCUGGCGGCGUGCUUAGCACAUGCAAGUCGAACGAACCUUCGGGUUAGUGGCGGACGGGUGAGUAACGCGUGAGAAUCUGCCCUCAGGAGGGGGAUAACGGUUGGAAACGACCGCUAAUACCCCAUAUGCCUAUUGGUGAAAUGAAUUUCGCCUGAGGAUGAGCUCGCGUCUGAUUAGCUAGUUGGUGAGGUAAUGGCUCACCAAGGCUUCGAUCAGUAGCUGGUCUGAGAGGAUGAUCAGCCACACUGGGACUGAGACACGGCCCAGACUCCUACGGGAGGCAGCAGUGGGGAAUUUUCCGCAAUGGGCGAAAGCCUGACGGAGCAACGCCGCGUGAGGGACGAAGGCCUCUGGGCUGUAAACCUCUUUUCUCAAGGAAGAAGAUAUGACGGUACUUGAGGAAUAAGCCACGGCUAAUUCCGUGCCAGCAGCCGCGGUAAUACGGGAGUGGCAAGCGUUAUCCGNAAUUAUUGGCCGUAAAGCGUCCGCAGGCGCUUUUUCAGGUCUGCUGUUAAAACGUGGAGCUUAACUCCAUCAUGGCAGUGAAACUGAAGGCUUGGGUAUGUAGGGCAAAGG
This 584-nucleotide ribosomal RNA is filed under the name uncultured bacterium. RNAcentral's name for it is "bacterial SSU rRNA". It matches the Rfam family "Bacterial small subunit ribosomal RNA", at positions 28 to 661 of the family's 1533-position model. The record is from RNAcentral.